RNAcentral lists this transfer RNA (76 nucleotides) under Dallia pectoralis (Alaska blackfish). Its description in RNAcentral is "tRNA-OTHER". The record is from RNAcentral. Lineage: Eukaryota; Metazoa; Chordata; Actinopteri; Esociformes; Umbridae.
GGGGCAGUUGGUAGCUCAGUGGUAGAGUACAUGCUUUGUGUGUACAAAGUCCUGGGUUCAUAUCCCAGUUGCUCCC